GCAAUGGUGCCUCAGCGGUAGAAUUUUUGCCUUUCACGUGGGAGACCUGGGUUCGAUUCCUGGCCAGUGCA
This 71-nucleotide transfer RNA is filed under the name Loxodonta africana (African savanna elephant). It matches the Rfam family "tRNA". From Rfam's summary of the family: Transfer RNA (tRNA) molecules are approximately 80 nucleotides in length. Lineage: Eukaryota; Metazoa; Chordata; Mammalia; Proboscidea; Elephantidae. The record is from Rfam by way of RNAcentral.